AGAGUUUGAUCCUGGCUCAGGAUGAACGCUAGCGGCAGGCCUAAUACAUGCAAGUCGAGCGGUGAUAGCGAUAUCAUAGUGGCGCACGGGUGCGUAACACGUAUGCAACCUACCUUAUACUGAGGGAUAGCCUUUCGAAAGGGAGAUUAAUACCUCAUAACACAUUGAACUGGCAUCAGUUUAUUGUUAAAGAUUUAUUGGUAUAAGAUGGGCAUGCGUCCAAUUAGUUAGUUGGCGAGGUAACGGCUCACCAAGACGAUGAUUGGUAGGGGAACUGAGAGGUUAAUCCCCCACACUGGCACUGAGAUACGGGCCAGACUCCUACGGGAGGCAGCAGUAGGGAAUAUUGGGCAAUGGAGGCAACUCUGACCCAGCCAUGCCGCGUGCAGGAAGAAGGCGUUAUGCGUUGUAAACUGCUUUUAUAUAGGAAGAAAUAGACCUUGCGAGGUAAGUUGACGGUACUAUAUGAAUAAGCACCGGCUAACUCCGUGCCAGCAGCCGCGGUAAUACGGAGGGUGCAAGCGUUGUCCGGAUUUAUUGGGUUUAAAGGGUGCGU
RNAcentral lists this ribosomal RNA (556 nucleotides) under uncultured bacterium. Its description in RNAcentral is "bacterial SSU rRNA". It matches the Rfam family "Bacterial small subunit ribosomal RNA", at positions 8 to 572 of the family's 1533-position model. The record is from RNAcentral.